CCGGCGAUGUCCGAAUGGGGAAACCCAGUGCAAUUCGUUGCACUAUCGUUAACUGAAUACAUAGGUUAACGAGGCGAACCGGGGGAACUGAAACAUCUAAGUACCCCGAGGAAAAGAAAUCAACCGAGAUUCCCCCAGUAGCGGCGAGCGAACGGGGAGCAGCCCAGAGUCUGAAUCAGCUUGUGUGUUAGUGGAACGGUCUGGAAAGUCCGACGGUACAGGGUGAUAGUCCCGUACACCAAAAUGCACAGGUUGUGAACUCGAAGAGUAGGGCGGGACACGUGGUAUCCUGUCUGAAUAUGGGGGGACCAUCCUCCAAGGCUAAAUACUCCUGACUGACCGAUAGUGAACCAGUACCGUGAGGGAAAGGCGAAAAGAACCCCGGCGAGGGGAGUGAAAAAGAACCUGAAACCGUGUACGUACAAGCAGUGGGAGCACCUUCGGGUGUGACUGCGUACCUUUUGUAUAAUGGGUCAGCGACUUAUAUUCUGUAGCAAGGUUAACCGUAUAGGGGAGCCGCAGGGAAACCGAGUCUUAACUGGGCGUUAAGUUGCAGGGUAUAGACCCGAAACCCGGUGAUCUAGCCAUGGGCAGGUUGAAGGUUGGGUAACACUAACUGGAGGACCGAACCGACUAAUGUUGAAAAAUUAGCGGAUGACUUGUGGCUGGGGGUGAAAGGCCAAUCAAACCGGGAGAUAGCUGGUUCUCCCCGAAAGCUAUUUAGGUAGCGCCUCGUGAACUCAUCUUCGGGGGUAGAGCACUGUUUCGGCUAGGGGGUCAUCCCGACUUACCAACCCGAUGCAAACUACGAAUACCGAAGAAUGUUAUCACGGGAGACACACGGCGGGUGCUAACGUCCGUCGUGAAGAGGGAAACAACCCAGACCGCCAGCUAAGGUCCCAAAGUCAUGGUUAAGUGGGAAACGAUGUGGGAAGGCACAGACAGCCAGGAUGUUGGCUUAGAAGCAGCCAUCAUUUAAAGAAAGCGUAAUAGCUCACUGGUCGAGUCGGCCUGCGCGGAAGAUGUAACGGGGCUAAACCAUGCACCGAAGCUGCGGCAGCGACACUAUGUGUUGUUGGGUAGGGGAGCGUUCUGUAAGCCUGCGAAGGUGUGCUGUGAGGCAUGCUGGAGGUAUCAGAAGUGCGAAUGCUGACAUAAGUAACGAUAAAGCGGGUGAAAAGCCCGCUCGCCGGAAGACCAAGGGUUCCUGUCCAACGUUAAUCGGGGCAGGGUGAGUCGACCCCUAAGGCGAGGCCGAAAGGCGUAGUCGAUGGGAAACAGGUUAAUAUUCCUGUACUUGGUGUUACUGCGAAGGGGGGACGGAGAAGGCUAUGUUAGCCGGGCGACGGUUGUCCCGGUUUAAGCAUGUAGGCUG
RNAcentral lists this ribosomal RNA (1375 nucleotides) under Klebsiella pneumoniae. RNAcentral's name for it is "partial 23S ribosomal RNA". It matches the Rfam family "Bacterial large subunit ribosomal RNA", at positions 104 to 1527 of the family's 2925-position model. Lineage: Bacteria; Pseudomonadati; Pseudomonadota; Gammaproteobacteria; Enterobacterales; Enterobacteriaceae. The record is from RNAcentral.